This 301-nucleotide ribosomal RNA is filed under the name uncultured bacterium. Its description in RNAcentral is "partial 16S ribosomal RNA". It matches the Rfam family "Bacterial small subunit ribosomal RNA", at positions 509 to 808 of the family's 1533-position model. The record is from RNAcentral.
CAGUCGCCGCGGGAAUACGUAGGUGGCGAGCGUUGUCCGGAAUUAUUGGGCGUAAAGGGAGCGCAGGCGGACAUAUAAGUCCAUCUUAAAAGUGCGGGGCUCAACCCCGUGAGGGGAUGGAAACUGUAUGCCUUGAGUGCAGGAGAGGAAAGCGGAAUUCCCAGUGUAGCGGUGAAAUGCGUAGAUAUUGGGAGGAACACCAGUGGCGAAGGCGGCUUUCUGGACUGUAACUGACGCUGAGGCUCGAAAGCCAGGGGAGCGAACGGGAUUAGAUACCCGAGUAGUCCCUGUCUCUUAUACC